GAUGAACGCUAGCGGGAGGCCUAACACAUGCAAGUCGAACGGGAUUGGUAGCAAUACCAUGAGAGUGGCGCACGGGUGAGUAACGCGUAUGCAACCUACCUUUAACUGAGGGAUAGCCCAUAGAAAUGUGGAUUAAUACCUCAUAGUUCUUUUGUUUCGCAUGGAAUGAAAGAUAAAGCUCCGGCGGUUAAAGAUGGGCAUGCGUGACAUUAGCUAGUUGGUAAGGUAACGGCUUACCAAGGCUACGAUGUCUAGGGGUUCUGAGAGGAUGAUCCCCCACACUGGUACUGAGACACGGACCAGACUCCUACGGGAGGCAGCAGUGAGGAAUAUUGGUCAAUGGGCGCAAGCCUGAACCAGCCAUCCCGCGUGCAGGAUGACGGCCCUAUGGGUUGUAAACUGCUUUUGUACAGGAAGAAAAAUCCCUACGUGUAGGGACCUGCCGGUACCGU
This 452-nucleotide ribosomal RNA is filed under the name uncultured bacterium. Its description in RNAcentral is "bacterial SSU rRNA". It matches the Rfam family "Bacterial small subunit ribosomal RNA", at positions 28 to 481 of the family's 1533-position model. The record is from RNAcentral.